RNAcentral lists this long non-coding RNA (2871 nucleotides) under Sus scrofa (pig). Its description in RNAcentral is "lncRNA (ENSSSCG00065004055.1)". Lineage: Eukaryota; Metazoa; Chordata; Mammalia; Artiodactyla; Suidae. The record is from RNAcentral.
AGGGUCCAAUUGGAGCUACAGCUGCUGGCCUACUAUACCACAGCUCAUGGCAACGCUGGACCCUUCACCACUGAGCAAGGCCAGGGAUUGAACCUGCAUCCUCAUGGAUCCUAGUUGAGUUCGUUAACCUCUGAGCCACAAUGAGAACUCCAGUAAGAUAUUCUUUCUACAAAGUUCAAAAGCCAGCAGAACUAAAAUGGGUCUUGCUUGGCACAGAUAUUUUAUAUUUCACUGAUUGUAAGAUGCAAACUGAGGAAAGAUUUUGAAAGAGAAGCACUGGAACAACAAACUAGAAACAAAUAAAAUAGUUCCCUCUAGUGGAGAUAGCGUAGUUCCGAGUCAUGUUGAAAGGCUUUGAAAUAGAAGCAAACCUUUUGUGAGUACAUAUAUUUACACAAUGCAAGCUUUAGACAAGAAGGAGACUCUUUCAGAACUAGAACAACUGGAUAUCUAUAUGAAAAAAAUAAUUUUUGGUUCCUACCUCACUUCAUACAGAACAUUUAUUUUUAGAUAGACCUAAAUGUGAAAGGUAGCGUCUGGAAAAAAGAGAACAACUUCCUUACCCAGGGAUAAGCAAAGUGUUCUUAGAAUGAAAAAAAGCACUAGCCUUAAGUGAAAAAUUGACAAAUUGGGCAUAACUGAAAUUUUAAACUUCAGCUCAUCACAAGUUACCAUUAAAUAAGUGAAAAGGCAAACCACACACUGGGAGAAAAUAAUUACACUGCAUGUAUUAUAAAUAUGUAAAUGUUAAAUAUAAUAUGAGUUCUUGACAAAGAAGUUACAUAUAGAACAUAUGAAAAAUUCCUAUAAAUCAGAAAAACUCUAUAUUGCUAAUGAUAGACUAAAACGGCAAACAAUCCACUUUGGAAAACUGAAAGCUUCUAAGAAAGCUGAACAUGCACACUGAUUUCACACCUAGGUAUACAUCUAUCCAAGAAAAAUGUGUGCAUAUUUCCAUAAACAGCUUGUACAAGAAAGUUCAUAAGAGCUUAAUUCAUAGAAGCCCUAAACAGGAAACAAUCCCACAUUCCAUCUACAGGUACACAGAUAAACACACAAUAGAAUAUUGCUCAGUGAUUAAAAAAAAAAAGUAUAGCUACAAUUGAUCCUCAUUAUUUAUGGAUUCUAUAUUCGAGAAUUUUCCUAUGUGCUAAAAUUUAUUUGUAAAUCCAAAAUCAAUAUGGCAUUUUCACGGUCAUUUAUGGACCUGGAGAGUGGCGAAAAAUCUGAGUCACCCAGUGAACGUUUCUGGUGAGGCUGCACAAGGCCAUGCUCUGACCUCUCGUUUCAGCUCUCAUAGUAUCUAUAAAUGUGCAUCAUUUGUGUGGUCUCUUUAAUGUUACAUUUUCACACUACUGUGCUUUUUGAUGUUAAUUUUGCUAUUUCAAAUGGCCCCCAAUUAUAGUGCUGCAGUGUUGUCUAGUGUUCCUAAGUGCAAGAAGGCUGUGAUGUGUUUUACCAAGGAAAUCAGUGUGUUGGAUAAGCUUCUUUCAGGCAUGAGUUAUGGUGCUGUUGAUAAUGAGUUCAAUGUUAAUGAAUCAACAACAUAUAUUAAGUAAUGUCAUCUUUAAAUAGAAACACAAUAAAACAAAGGACUUGUUUUGAUUGUGUUGGUUUACCUGCAUUGAUCAGCUAAUACCGUUCUCUCUAUAUUUUGAUAUGUUUGUUUAUAGGUGAAAAAUAAAAUAUUGCCUGCCAUUUCAGUAAACCAAAGUGUCACAGUCAUCGGUGAUUGUAGCCACCUCCAAGGGUGAGCAGGUGAGCCCUGAGGGAACUCAGGAAGGAAACAGAGAACACUUGCCAUCUAAGCAGCUAUCAGACUUGCAGCCGCUCCUAACCUUGAACCCUGAGGAAACUCAGGAUCUAAAAACACAGGCUAUUGGCCCCAGAUAGCUGAGGUGCAUAUCAAAGGAAUGAUUUUAGUGAGCUGAGACCUUUUCAUUUUUCCAUUCAUAGAAAAGUGCUGAAGUCCUUAACUUGAGAUAGCAAUUUUUCUGUUAUUAGCAGUCAUCUUUUGUUCUUACCACCUCCCCUUCAUUGCAAAACUCCUAUAUAUCCUAGCUUUCCCCUCGCCUCCACAGGAGAAGUUAUCUCAAGGUUACUUGAGAUGCUGCCUCCCAGGCUUAAGUCCUCAGUUUUGUCCCCCAAAUAAAAUACAACUCUCAGAGUCCCUACUGUGCCACAGUGGAUUAAGGAUCCAGCAUUGUCACAGUUGUGUUGCAGGUUGCAGCUGCGGCUUGGAUUCACUCCCUGACUUGGUCACUUCCAUGUGCUGUGGUUGUGGCUAAAAACAAAACCCACAAAACUCUCAAUUUUUAGGUUGUGCAUAUUUUUUUCAGUCAACAUAUUGGACAGUUAAAACUGUUGUGAGUAGAGACUUGCAGGAGCAAUGAUUCUCUAUUUUCUAAUUCAAUGUUUGCGGACACUUUAUAGAACGAACCACUUGAAAUAACAAGAACUGACUGUCAUGUAACAUUAUGCAUGAAUCACACAGACACUGAACCAUAUACAAAAGAAUAUGUACUGCCGGAUUCCACUUAGAUCAUGCUCAAGAAGAGCAAAUCUAAUGGAAGUUGGAAAAGCAACGAUGAGGGACUAUUUAUUGGAAAAUAGAAAAAGGCUACUCUUUGGGUUGAUGGAAAUGGAAGAUGUAUAUUGACCUGGGAGGUGGAAAUUAAGAACUGGUUCUUUUUAAUGACUGCGGAGCUCUUUCAACUCAACACUUCAGGUUUGCUAGCUGCAAUGUUCCUCUACAGCCACAUGGUGGCAGUGUUGCAGAAAUGAAGAAAAUUCUGGCUGAGGUUUGCAUCCCUGUCCUUUCUAGUUCAGAUGUUUAAUUUCAGGUUGUCUUCCAUCUUCCUUUUAUUUAUC